GAUGAACGCUGGCGGCGUGCCUAAUACAUGCAAGUCGAGCGAACAGACGAGGAGCUUGCUCCUCUGACGUUAGCGGCGGACGGGUGAGUAACACGUGGAUAACCUACCUAUAAGACUUGGAUAACUUCGGGAAACCAGAGCUAAUACCGGAUCAUAUAUUGAACCGCAUGGUUCAAUAGUGAAAGACGGUUUUGCUGUCACUUAUAGAUGGAUCCGCGCCGCAUUAGCUAGUUGGUAAGGUAACGGCUUACCAAGGCAACGAUGCGUAGCCGACCUGAGAGGAUGAUCGGCCACACUGGAACUGAGACACGGUCCAGACUCCUACGGGAGGCAGCAGUAGGGAAUCUUCCGCAAUGGGCGAAAGCCUGACGGAGCAACGCCGCGUGAGUGAUGAAGGUCUUCGGAUCGUAAAGCUCUGUUAUUAGGGAAGAACAGAUGUGUAAGUAACUAUGCACGUCUUGACGGUACCUAAUCAGAAAGCAACGGCUAACUACGUG
RNAcentral lists this ribosomal RNA (497 nucleotides) under uncultured bacterium. Its description in RNAcentral is "partial 16S ribosomal RNA". It matches the Rfam family "Bacterial small subunit ribosomal RNA", at positions 28 to 507 of the family's 1533-position model. The record is from RNAcentral.